CCGCGCGCCCGGUGUUCAGGAAAACUUGGGAACGGGGUUUGGUGAUGUCUGGUGGCGGAGGCCCGUAUGGGACCGCACGUACGCAUUUGAGCCGGCAGAAUUACCUCAGCAGCAUUCCUGCCGCUGCCGCGGGAAACGCGCUGACUACGCAGGAAAGGUGGAGCGCGGCAGAGACCGACAUGUGACAGAACCGGGUGUGUAAAGGUGGCAUCUGUGUACACAGAGUUUUGAGAGAAUUUCAAAGUCUGUUACGUGCUGAUGCUGUAAAGGCUGAGCAACGAACUGAUGGUAAUUACAUACAUUUUUAUAAUUAAAAAACCUAAUGGAAAUAAAAUUGAUUACUGUCAGUAUCUUGGAAUAAUUACAGUUUCUGUAACAACUUUAUAUCUGAGUGUUCAGAAGUGUACACACAAAAUAAUAAAAGAUGUGCUAAUAGAAAUGAAGUCUAGAUUUCUCCAUAUACGGAGCAGGCACACAUUAUAA
Cyanistes caeruleus (blue tit) is the source of this 483-nucleotide non-coding RNA. The record is from RefSeq and is a predicted model, not a curated record. Lineage: Eukaryota; Metazoa; Chordata; Aves; Passeriformes; Paridae.